UCCUACAUGGUCCAGUGGUUAGGAUAUUAGCCUUUCAAGCUAGGGGUCCGGGUUCGAUUCCCGGUGUGGGAA
Edhazardia aedis is the source of this 72-nucleotide transfer RNA. It matches the Rfam family "tRNA". From Rfam's summary of the family: Transfer RNA (tRNA) molecules are approximately 80 nucleotides in length. The record is from Rfam. NCBI's taxonomy places the organism in Eukaryota, Fungi, Microsporidia, Culicosporidae.